RNAcentral lists this ribosomal RNA (2290 nucleotides) under Platyphytoptus sabinianae. RNAcentral's name for it is "18S ribosomal RNA". It matches the Rfam family "Eukaryotic small subunit ribosomal RNA". Lineage: Eukaryota; Metazoa; Arthropoda; Arachnida; Trombidiformes; Eriophyidae. The record is from RNAcentral.
UGUAAAGUUCAAGCUCCAUUUUGAGGGCGAAACCGCGAAUGGCUCAUUAAAUCAGUCAUAAUCUACUUGAUUGUUUAAAGUUUAUAUGGAUAACUGUGGUAAUUCUAGAGCUAAUACAUGCACAAAGAGGGCGACUCUUCGUAAAAAGAGAGAAGCUCUGCGUUUAUUAGACUAAGACCAAUGAUUGUGGUCAAACACAAUCUAUAUUUAAGGUGACUCUGAGUAAAUAAUGGGUGAAAGCCCAUGUUGCUGACCUGACACUUAAAAAGGCCCUUAAAAGCCUUGUCAGGCAAAUCAAUCGAGUGUCUGCUCUAUCAACUGUGGAUGGUAGGGUAAUUGCCUACCAUGGUGGUGACGGGUAACGGGGAGUUAGGGCUCGACUCCGGAGAACAAGCCUGAGAAACGGCUAGUAGGACUAAGGUCUGCAGCAGGCGCGAAACUUACACAAUGCUAGAUUAAAAUUAGCGAUGUAGUGAAGAAAAAUAACGAUGUACUUCCGUUUAAACAUGGUAGUACAAUUGGAAUGAGUCGAGUCUAAACCACUUAGGCGAGUAUCAAAUGGAGGGCAAGUCUGGUGCCAGCAGCCGCGGUAAUUCCAGCUCCAUUAGCAUACAUUAAAGUUGUUGCGGUUAAAAAGCUCGUAGUUGAAUUUUAGGCGGGCUCUAUUGGGAUGCAAUCGUUAAGGUUUUAUGCGUGUUGGCGCAGCCCAUACCAUACAAACUGGUUGUAUUUUCCCUAUAGGAACUCGCUGUUUCGUCACUUAAUCGAGUGCGAAGCGGGCUGGUACUAGCCGUACUUAUGUGCGCGCUUGUUUCAGCAUGUUUACCUUGAGAAAAUUAGAGUGCUCACAGCAGGCAGUUGGGGUGUAAAAGCUCCUUUAUGCUUGAAUAAUGUUGCAUGGAAUAAUAGAAUACGGCCUCGGUUCUAUUCUGUUGGUCUUAUAGAACAACAAACAAGUUGGUUAAAGCGACCAAAAGUCUGUUUGCGAGUGUGGUUUUGACUAGCUGUUCUAGUCGCUUUAGGUGAGUUCUGUUGCCUGGGACCUAAAAAUCUCAGUUGCCUGGCUCCCUACAUGCGCCUGUUCAUCACUAGUUCAACUCCAUUCAAAGCACUCCUUACAUGGCUAGCUUUCUAAUCAACUGAGGCAAUGGUUAAAAGAAAUAGUCGCGGCGGCAUCAGUACUGCAUCGUGAGAGGUGAAAUUCUUAGACCGAUGCAAGACUAACUGAAGCGAAAGCGUUUGCCGAGGAUAUUUUCAUUAAUCAAGAACGAAAGUUAGAGGUUCGAAGGCGAUCAGAUACCGCCCUAGUUCUAACCAUAAACGUUGCCAACUAGCAAUUGGGUUGCGAUUCCUUUAAUCGAGCCUUAAAAAAGCUCGAUCAUUAUGAUCCACCCAGCGGCUCUCGUAGGGAAACCAAAGUGUUUGGGUUCCGGGGGAAGUAUGAUUGCAAAGUUGAAACUUAAAGGAAUUGACGGAAGGGCACCACCAGGAGUGGAGCCUGCGGCUUAAUUUGACUCAACACGGGGAAACUUACUAGAUUAGAACUCUGGAAUGAUUGACAGAUUGAUAGCUCUUUCUUGAUUCAGAGGAUGGUGGUGCAUGGCCGUUCUUGAUUCGUAUUCCGAAACGUCUGCUUAAUUGCGAUAACGAGUGAGACCUCACCCAACUAACUAGUCGUUUGGUGCGCUGUGGAACGCAAAAGUCUCGGCAGGAUUUGGCUUGUAGUGGGGCAGCAAUGUUUCGCUACUUGACUGCCUGUUUGAGAUGUUCUCUGCUCGCCAGCGGACUUCUUAGAGGGAUAAACGGUGUUUUAGCCGUAAGAAACGAGGCAAUAACAGGUCUGUGAUGCCCUUAGAUAUUCUAGGCCGCACGCGUGCUACAAUGGCGUGUGCAGAAAGCUUGUUCGAGGUUUGUCUAAGGAGAACUGGUCGUUUGGCUUGCGGCUGGGGGCAACUCUGGUUUGUGGGUCGGCGGAGAAGUGACCUUAGUUAGCAGGCCGAGAGAAACCGUAGUCGAAAGAUUACGGCAAUCAUAAAUACACGCCGUGAUUUGGGAUUGGGGAUUGCAAUUGUUGCCCAUGAACGAGGAAUUCCCAGUAAGCGCAAUUCAUCAUAUUGCGUUGAUUACGUCCCUGCCCUUUGUACACACCGCCCGUCGCUACUACCGAUUGGAAGUUUUAGUGAGGCAUUUGGACCUGCCUACCAAUGGAAGGGCAACCGACCUGGUCUGGCGGGGAAGUCUGUCGAACUCAAAUUUCUAGAGGAAGUAAAAGUCGUAACAAGGUUUCCGU